GAUCCUGGCUCAGGACGAACGCUGGCGGCGUGCUUAGCACAUGCAAGUCGAACGAGAAUCUACUGAAAGAGUUUUCGGACAAUGGAUGUAGAGGAAAGUGGCGGACGGGUGAGUAACGCGUGAGGAACCUGCCUUGAAGAGGGGGACAACAGUUGGAAACGACUGCCAAUACCGCAUGACGCAUAGGGGUCGCAUGAUCUUUAUGCCAAAGAUUUAUCGCUUCAAGAUGG
Molecule: ribosomal RNA, 230 nt
Filed under: uncultured bacterium
Lineage: Bacteria
Description: partial 16S ribosomal RNA
Rfam family: Bacterial small subunit ribosomal RNA
Source: RNAcentral